UACGGAGGGUGCAAGCGUUAUCCGGAUUCACUGGGCUUAAAGGGUGCGUAGGCGGAUAGGUAAGUCCGUGGUGAAAUCCUGCAGCUUAACUGCAGAACUGCCGUGGAUACUAUCUAUCUUGAAUGUCGUGGAGGUUAGCGGAAUAUGUCAUGUAGCGGUGAAAUGCUUAGAUAUGACAUAGAACACCCAUUGCGAAGGCAGCUAACUACGCGAUAAUUGACGCUGAUGCACGAAAGCGUGGGGAUCAAACAGG
This 253-nucleotide ribosomal RNA is filed under the name uncultured bacterium. Its description in RNAcentral is "partial 16S ribosomal RNA". It matches the Rfam family "Bacterial small subunit ribosomal RNA", at positions 524 to 776 of the family's 1533-position model. The record is from RNAcentral.